RNAcentral lists this ribosomal RNA (546 nucleotides) under Deltaproteobacteria bacterium. Its description in RNAcentral is "bacterial LSU rRNA". It matches the Rfam family "Bacterial large subunit ribosomal RNA", at positions 1 to 546 of the family's 2925-position model. Lineage: Bacteria; Pseudomonadati; Myxococcota; Myxococcia. The record is from RNAcentral.
UUGGUCAAGCGAACAAGGGUCCAUGGUGGAUGCCUUGGCGCCGAGCGGCGAUGAAGGACGUGACUACCUGCGAUAAGCUUCGGGGAGCCGGUAAGUAGGCUUUGAUCCGGAGAUUUCCGAAUGGGGGAACCCGGCCGUUUUUUUGACGGUCAUCCCUGCCUGAAUUCAUAGGGCAGAGGAGGCGAACGCGGGGAAUUGAAACAUCUUAGUACCCGCAGGAAGAGAAAUCAAACGAGAUUCCCUGAGUAGUGGCGAGCGAAACGGGAAGAGCCCAAACCGGUGGGCUUGCUCACCGGGGUUGUGGGACCGCGAUGUGGUACGUGGAUGGUUAGCAGAACAGUCUGGAAAGUCUGGCCAUAGUGGGUGAUAGCCCCGUAUGCGAAAACCUGAAGCGGCCUAGCGGUAUCCCGAGUAGGACGGGACACGUGAAACCCUGUCUGAAUCUGGGGGGACCACCCUCCAAGGCUAAAUACGUCUCGGCGACCGAUAGUGAACCAGUACCGUGAGGGAAAGGUGAAAAGCACCCCGGUGAGGGGAGUGAAAUAG